GACGAACGCUGGCGGCGUGCUUAACACAUGCAAGUCGAGCGGAGCGGCGAACGGGGGAGUAACGCUUGAGUAAGUGCCCCCCUCCCUGGGAUAACAGUUGGAAACGGCUGCUAAUACCGGAAAGUGGGGGCUGUCUCGCGUCCUAUCAGCUUGUUGGUGGGGUAGGGGCUUACCAGGGCGACGACGGGUUGCCGGCCUGCGAGGGCGACCGGCCACAUUGGGCUGAGAUACGGCCCAAACGCCUACGUGAGGCAGCAUGGGGGAAUAUUGCACAAUGUGGGAAACCCUGAUGCAGCAACGCCGCGUGCGGGAUGACGGCAUUCGGGUUGUAAACCGCUUUCAGCCAUGACGCGGUAGUGGCAGAAGAAGCACCGGCUAACUACGUGCCAGCAGCCGCGGUAAUUC
This 405-nucleotide ribosomal RNA is filed under the name uncultured bacterium. Its description in RNAcentral is "partial 16S ribosomal RNA". It matches the Rfam family "Bacterial small subunit ribosomal RNA", at positions 28 to 526 of the family's 1533-position model. The record is from RNAcentral.